AACGAACGCUGGCGGCAGGCUUAACACAUGCAAGUCGAGCGCCCCGCAAGGGGAGCGGCAGACGGGUGAGUAACGCGUGGGAACGUACCUUUUGGUUCGGAACAACUCCGGGAAACUGGAGCUAAUACCGGAUAAGCCCUAACGGGGAAAGAUUUAUCGCCGAAAGAUCGGCCCGCGUCUGAUUAGCUAGUUGGUGAGGUAACGGCUCACCAAGGCGACGAUCAGUAGCUGGUCUGAGAGGAUGAUCAGCCACACUGGGACUGAGACACGGCCCAGACUCCUACGGGAGGCAGCAGUGGGGAAUAUUGGUCAAUGGGCGCAAGCCUGAUCCAGCCAUGCCGCGUGAGUGAUGAAGGCCUUAGGGUUGUAAAGCUCUUUUGUCCGGGAAGAUAAUGACUGUACCGGAAGAAUAAGCCCCGGCUAACUUCGUG
Molecule: ribosomal RNA, 431 nt
Filed under: uncultured bacterium
Lineage: Bacteria
Description: partial 16S ribosomal RNA
Rfam family: Bacterial small subunit ribosomal RNA
Source: RNAcentral